Oxyura jamaicensis (ruddy duck) is the source of this 2774-nucleotide long non-coding RNA. RefSeq lists it as uncharacterized. The transcript is spliced from 4 exons. The record is from RefSeq and is a predicted model, not a curated record. Lineage: Eukaryota; Metazoa; Chordata; Aves; Anseriformes; Anatidae.
GGAUCUACUUUUCCAUGCGUUAUUCUCCGUGGAAGUGGGAUCAAAGCGGAUGAAGUCUCAGGCCUGUUACUCCUCUGCUUUGGGAGCAUAUUUUCAGGAAGUAAAAUGUAAGCCCUGAUAGCAUAACUCCUAAUGCUGGUAUCUCUUGGCGAAGAGAGUAUGGAGAUGUUGGGGUGCCAACACCUUCAGAGCCUGGCAGUACUCACACAGAUGCACUGUCUCUGGGAUCUGGAGCGUUACACUAAAGAUGUGAAAGGGACUUUGAAGAAGACUGCUAACACGAAGCGGACAGAUUUACUGCACUUGAAACAUACAGGGUUUUCCUAUUAGCGUAAUAACAUAACAGUAACAGUCCCUCUGAAACUACUGGAGCAGUAUCAGGAGAUGGUCACUGGGAAUAGAUUCAAGCCCAACAGGCACAAGGUAACCCAAACAGGUAACACAACGAGGCAAAGCCAAGAAGACUGAAAAUUAGAGAAGAUACUCUCUGCUUUAUGGCUCUCUGAGAUACCAUGGACCAGUUACCCACCAAAUACUGCAGAUCAGUAAGCUGUUCAAGUAAAAAGAGACCCAGGGACAGGAUAAAGGGAGAACAUUGGAAUCCAGGCUGUGUAAAUUCUGCUGCUCACAGAACUACUUGUUAGAAUAGGUUACACCAAGGUUGCUCCCACUCACUUAAGAACAGAAAACCUCAGACAUGCUUGUAGCAGGGUUGUUUGCGUUUAGCAACACUACUGGAAAUAGAAUGGUUAGAUAAAGGACACAGCUUUGUAAAGAUGAGAAGCAUUUCUGAUUAAAAUAUAACAGCUAUGGACAAGUAUUUUGCCUCUGAAGCAAACCCAUCUCUCUAGAAUGUCGCAGGUUUCCCAAAGAAUUUGGGAUCUUUGAGGUUAAUAGUCAAUGCAAGCACACAAUAAAGCAACUAAGAAGCAUGUAUGCUUGAGGAAUCCUUUCAGAUAAUAAAAGGAUUCUCCCAUGUUGCUUCCUGAAAUCUUCCCACAUGCCUGCACAGACUUGACGCUGACUAUGCUAUCUGCUAAGGGUGGCCCUGAGGUCCUUUUCCAGAUGAGACUCACCUUUCUACCAAAGUGUGAAUCUGCUCACAUGUGCCAGGUGUGUCGGUCUGCCUGUGGAAGCAACUGUGACGGUGAUUUGUGCACCAUUCUUGAAGUCAUGCAGGAUGAAAGGGACAAACUGAACAUACUCCUCCAGAGACUGCUGUUGAGGUGUUUGCCUCCACUGAUUUAGCCAGCAUGGUUCUGCUUGUACCACUUACUCCAUCCAAAACCAGAUUUCCUUCCCAGGAUGAGGCUAGAGAAGAGGAGGUACCAAUAGGAUACCUGUAAGAAUCUGUGUCAAGGCUAUGUUUAAUUUAAGAUCUUAGUUAAAUAGAAACAGUACCUGAAAGUGAUAAACAUUACCAGAAACUGGUCGAAUCUCAGUUGGGGAAUACUGCAAGUCUGUAGCCAAGGAGAUUUAAGUUCAAGAAUCUAUCUAUCAAAAUGAAGAAAUCUGCAAGUGAUCAUUCCAAGAGAUGAAGAAUUUAAAAAAUGAAGCAGAUGUCAAACGCUGCCAUAUGAAGAAGGCUGCAGAAAGGCCAGUGCAGCUGAGGAUUCAAAUUUCCAUUUCUCCUCCAAAAGGAGCUUUUCCUGCAGGAGAAGUACGGGUCUGGGCACCAUUCCUGUGCAAGUGUCUGCUGGUCUCCCCACCCGCUCCACCUAAAAUAGUGGAGGUGAGUCCAAGAGGAGGGGAGGAACUGCACGCUGCUGCGGUUUCCCCCAUCUUUUGUGAGCUCCAGUGCCUGGAGCUGCUGUUCCCCAGAGAGGAAGUGUGAUCCUGCUGUGGGUCAGGCUCAGGCUGGGAAAUUUUGCUCUAGGCGGGGGACUGUUUUAUGCAUAGCUGUUGUGCUUCAUGCAGUAGUUGACGUAAUUUGAUUCAGUAUGCAGAAGUCAAUGUAGCUCCCUUGCCGUGUGUAUCCCUUGUGAUCUUCUAAUGGUGGUGAUCAAGGACACUGUUUCCUCUAAACCUCAUCUUUGAAACGCUAAACUCAAGGCACCUUGGCCCUGGUUCCAGCUCUGCUGUCAUUUGCUUUUGCUGUGCCUGACUUGAGCCACCUAUAAAAGAAACAGCAUGGAUGUAAGGGACGUAGUGAAGGCUGCAGGCACUCGGACAGUCCUCACUCCUUCAUUCUGUUACCCUUCCUUUCUCAUUCACCCAGUAGAAUCCAGGCACUGGGCAAAUGAGGCAGCUCCUUCUUGCUCCGAGAACCAGCAUUUUCCCUCUUACCACCUAUGUCUUGAAAUGAUAACUACGCACAUAUAGUUUACUUGUGUGUCGUUCCUUAACUGUAAGGAAAGUACUUGCGGGGGAGAGGCAGAGAUUUGGCCCUUAAUGAGUUUAAUUCGUUUCACUUAGUUGCCAGUAGAUGGCUCUCUGAAUUUACAGUCCCUUAUUUACUUCAUUGUUUAUCGAAUUAUGCUGGACGCAUUUCCAGUGGAAAAUGUUCACUGUUUUUGCUUUGAGGAAGUUUACGUAAGAACAAGGAAGCAAUGGGACGAGUAAAUAGACUGCUAACAGACAAGGCACGGGAUCAGUUCACUUUUUGCAAAAUGUUUUGUGGCUACAAUCCAAAAGAUUUUUCUUGUGCAAGAUCCAACGUUAAGAAUUAGCAGACUCAAGGAGUUAUAUCUAUAAUUACAAGAUGCGCUUGCCACAUUUGAUUAUAGCCAACUAAAAUUCAUUGUCAAUAAAAAAGAAAGCAUUUCAGCCACUUA